This is a non-coding RNA of Cordylochernes scorpioides, 67 nucleotides long. The record is from the annotation of a GenBank genome assembly. Lineage: Eukaryota; Metazoa; Arthropoda; Arachnida; Pseudoscorpiones; Chernetidae.
GUCCAGGGGCGGGAUUCGAACCCACAACCUUCCGCUUACCGGGCCAUGUCCACUAGGCUACCCUGGA